AUUUUCGAUACUACUUUUAUUAUUAUUAUUGACUAUUGUAUACAUCUACAAAUGAGUUAUAAAUGAGUUAAUCUAAAAUAUUUUUCUUUCUAUUUCCAUUUGUGUACUGUUAGUUGUUGAUCAUGUUUUUUUGGCAAAAGCGAUUCAAAAAUCAAGAAUGAUGAAAGUAUCUAGAAAUCAGGUAGAUAAUCGGUAAUGAAACGGUGGACACAUAAUCUUAAUUUGUUCUCAUUCAUUUAUAGGAUUGACACAUCAUUAUUACAAAUAAUAAUAUUCUUCUAAUACGUGUUAUAAUAUUUUACUCGAGCAAUAUUUAUCAUAAUGCUGUAAAUAAGGAAUUCGGAACAGAACAACGACUUUUAUUGAAAAUGUAAUUUGUAUUAGGUCCUAAUUAGUACUAAAAUUAAAUCGAACGUGAAAAACAAUACAACCAUAGCUGGUCCAGACCUUAAAAUACAUCGGAGGUCAAAAACUCAAAACGUUAUCGGAAAUAAAAAAGAAAAACUCCAUCCUUGUUCGAAACUCAUUGCAUACAACUAUACGUAGACAGCGAACUCUUCGUAGGAAGUCUUGCCAGGCCAUUCGGAUCGGGAAACUGGAGCGUUUCGAUAUGUGCAAAUGUCCGCAUAACCGUUCGAAGGACAAUGCGAGUAGUGUUUCGACCUCAGCGGCAGGUCUUGAAGAUGCAAUACAAAAUAAUAAUAAUAUAAUACAGUCAUGUUUAUUCAUUUUGGCCAUUUCUCCUAGACACAAACGAUCGUAUUAUACAUAGGUAGUACAAUGGUUCGGCCGUAAGGUAAUAUUAUUAUAUGAUGCAUCAAUCUGUAACAUCCUCGCAGUAUCUAUAAUACAUAUAAUACGUAUUAUGCAUACCUAUAUCUAUAUAUUAUAAUGUAAUAUGUAUUAUAUGUGAAUACGAUUACGUGUUUGUGUUUUACAUUUGUUUUUGUAUAUCGAGCUCUUGUAAAUCGGGUCAAGGAAUGAAAAACGAAUCAAUAGAGUGACGUGAUAAGAGAACAAUGUUCUAGGUCUGCAGCGGAAUCGGAAUUAAAUCGAUUUAUGUGAUUACAUUAAUAUGGUAAACCGAUUCAGUAUACCUACGACUACGUGUCACAGUCACAUGUGUCUGCAAACGUAUUUGAUUUUCGUGAGCACCGUUUUGAAUUUUACGGGAAAACAGUUAACCUCGCGAGAAAUAAUCGUUAAGCGGUUAUCAUAAUUAUAUAAUAUAUGUAUAUUAUGCGAAUUAGAUAAUAAUACAUUAGCCAUAAAUAUAUAGGUUAGGUGUAUAAUGUAACUUGCAAUUUCCAUACGUUUUACGCAAUCCAAAUGUUUGCAUUUUAUGAGAAAUUAAGUUAUUAAAUCUUCUUUAAUAGUUUAAUAUACCACCGCGAACUCUUUUAUUAUUAGCUCAAACUGCGCCAAGUAAAUAUAUAGUCACGAUAAAGCUGCGUUGCUGUUGAAAAUUCCUGGUAUCGUUUGGAUUCAAGUAGCGUCUCGCACGGACGUUUAAACAUUUUAAUUGACCACGAUAAUAAUUAUUACUGGGUAUGCACAAGCUAUAUAGGACGGUCUUCUAUAGAUUUAAUGUCUAGUGCGUGCCGUUGAAGUCUCUGAAUUAUAUAUUAUUUAAUAUACUACUACAAUGAGAGUGGUUUUAUUUUAUAGGGGAAAAAAAAUUACUUUCAUUUUUAUCAUGCAUUUAAAUUAAAAUUAUAACGAUUAUAUCAAUAUAGUUAAAUAUUUCAAAUAGUAAUUCAAAUAGAAAUGUGUAUUAUAUUAUAAUAUUACCACCCAUAUAUUAUUUAUAUAAAUGUUUAAUACUAUAUAGUUCUGAAUAAUGGA
Aphis gossypii (cotton aphid) is the source of this 1845-nucleotide long non-coding RNA. RefSeq lists it as uncharacterized. The transcript has 4 exons. NCBI's taxonomy places the organism in Eukaryota, Metazoa, Arthropoda, Insecta, Hemiptera, Aphididae. The record is from RefSeq and is a predicted model, not a curated record.